AUAGCUCGCCGGCUCCUCUAUCUAUUUUGUGUCCAGCCGGGAGCCGCGCUCGAUGAUUCAUUGCCCCAAUUAGGGGCUCUCUCCUGCGCGCCAGGCUCGAGCCGUCUGAAGGGUCUCCUCAGGGACCCGCGGAAACCCAUCAGCCGCUGGAGCUGGUCUUUAAGUAAAGGUCAAGCAGGACGCGGGAGGAGCCAGGCCAGGUACCUCUCCUGCACUGGCCUAAUGGCACUCGUGGAGAGUUCCCGUUCCAGGAUGGGCACUGCCUGCCCCUGACGGAAUCUUAGGAGCCUGGGAUGGAGCUGGGCCAUGUGGGGGCUUGUCAGUACAGGAUUUCUGUGAAGGGGAAUGAGAUACUACGUGGAAGGACUGAGCCCAGGGCUGGGCUCACAAUCCCCAGACUGAAAGCUGGAGAUGCUUGGGGGUUCUGUCCACUUAUUCACAGAUGUGGCUCUCUCCCCCAUGCCUGGAACACUGCCUGGCACACAGUAGGUGCUCAACAAACAGUCUUCAAUUCAUGAAAGGCUAGAUUUAUGUCAUGAUCUCCCCAGCUCCCCAGAGAAAGAGAUCAAGAGAGGUUAAGGAAACUGCCCGAGGUCAGCCACCAGGCUAGCAGACUUCCGAGCCCUCGGGGCCAGCUUUUUUCCUAGAAUCUUCUUGAGGCCAGCACUGUGCCUACACUGAGGAGAAGGAUCCACAGAGCCCUCACAGAAGGUGAAGACCGAUGUCCUUGCUUCCAGGCCCUCCUGACCAGCUGGGUGAUCUUGAAUGGGUCACGACCCCUCCCUAAGUCUGGGUGUUUCACCGGUAAUGUGGCAAUAACAGCACUUGCCUCUCUGGACACUGAUGGCUGAACGAGACGCCCAGUGUGCUGGCCCCGCACAGGCUGGCACACAGUAGCUGCUCAGUUAACAGCAGCACUCCACUCCCUUGACUGUUCAGUGGCCACCAAGGUGACCCGAUCCACAGGCUAGGGAGGUAGUCGAUUUCUCUGGCAGUGGAAAACAAGCCCUCGGAAGCCCUUUCCUCCUUGCAGCCUGCCUGAGGGCCAGGGGAGACCCAUAGCUGAGUGGUGUCAGCUCUCAGGGGGAAGGACACUUUCUAGGUGAGGUCACGGAGCUCAAAAUCAUGCAUCCAGACUUCCAGCCAGCUCUGUCUUGUUUCCCCCGUGGCGUAUCGCUGUGGUCCGCAGGAAGGCAGCAGGGUUCAGGAGGAUUUUGUAGGUGGAUGGAAACAUCCUGAUCUGUCCUUGGCUCUGCAGUAACAAGGAUCCCAGGGGCAGCUCAGUUUCCCAGCCUGGCCGGGUGUGGAUGGGCAGAGUGGGGACAAGGUGCUCCAGGUGCAGGGACAGAGGGACCAAAGAGACUAGGGGGCUCAGAGAAAGGAUCCUCCAGCCACCCCAGGGCAGGAAUCAGGUCCCUGACACCCAGCUGCAGCCCAGGCCCCGCCCCAACCCCUUGCAAUCUGGGGCCGACUGGAUCCAGGCCGCGGGGAACACAUCCUGGCCUCAGGAGUCAAUGACAGGAAGUGCGAUGUGACCUUGGCUGGGUUUGGAGGCUGCCUCGGGCCAGGCUGUGCCUCUGGGUACUGUGGCCUCGAACUGCAGAGCCUUCUGGAGAGGUGGCAGGCCAUAGUCAGGGUGGGAGGCUCCUUGCCCCUGGCUGGGCUGGGCAGCAGGGUGUCCUCCCUUCCAACACUGUCCUCCCUGGCCCCCUGACACCAAUUUACUGAGCGCCCUCUGUCUGCUCAGCACUGGGUGGACACUAUUUGUAUAAAUAAAAUUCUGUUUUGGCCUGUGUGUCUCUGCCUCAGCCAAAGGCUGGUUAGAGGCCAAGAGUGACAAGAUCUAGCUGUCACGGGAGGGGACGGGGGAGGGGGGGUCGAGGGUGACCUUUGACAGCUCACCCCCAACGUCUCCAGUGGAGGGGAUCAUGCCCCAGCCCGUGGGAGGUGGAAGUGCGGCUGACAAGGAGCAGGACACGGCCUCCACGAAGGUCCCUGACAUCGCAGAUGACAUUUCUGUUGAAUGGAGGCGACCACGGCCAGCUGGGGGUCACGAGCUGGCAGCCACCACCACCGGGUCAGGGGAGGCUAGGAGGUGACCCACACCCAGAGCCAGGAGGCUGGUGGACGGGCUGCAAAGGCCCCCUCAGCCCAGUAAGCAGAGAGCAUCCACUUCCUGUGAGACUCUCUCCCCAAGGCCCCAGAGCAAACUCCCCUCCCGCCGCCCCUGGGCCUGACCCUGGCCAAGCAGCACGGGGCUCUCUGGGGAGGGUUUUCACAAAGACCCGUCCAGGCCC
Non-coding RNA from Vicugna pacos (alpaca), 2297 nucleotides. Lineage: Eukaryota; Metazoa; Chordata; Mammalia; Artiodactyla; Camelidae. The record is from RefSeq and is a predicted model, not a curated record.